AUUGAACGCUGGCGGCAGGCCUAACACAUGCAAGUCGAGCGGAUGAAGGGAGCUUGCUCCUGGAUUCAGCGGCGGACGGGUGAGUAAUGCCUAGGAAUCUGCCUGGUAGUGGGGGAUAACGUCCGGAAACGGGCGCUAAUACCGCAUACGUCCUGAGGGAGAAAGUGGGGGAUCUUCGGACCUCACGCUAUCAGAUGAGCCUAGGUCGGAUUAGCUAGUUGGUGGGGUAAAGGCCUACCAAGGCGACGAUCCGUAACUGGUCUGAGAGGAUGAUCAGUCACACUGGACCUGAGCCACGGUCCAGCCUCCUACGGGAGGCAGCAGUGGGGAAUAUUGGCCAAUGGGCGAAAGCCUGAUCAAGCCAGGCCGCGUGUGUGAAGAAGGUCUUCGGUUUGUAAAGCACUUUAAGUUGGGAGGAAGGGAAGUAAGUUAAGACCUUGCUGUUUUGACGUUACCAACAGAAUAAGCACCGGCUAACUUCGU
This 483-nucleotide ribosomal RNA is filed under the name uncultured bacterium. RNAcentral's name for it is "partial 16S ribosomal RNA". It matches the Rfam family "Bacterial small subunit ribosomal RNA", at positions 30 to 506 of the family's 1533-position model. The record is from RNAcentral.